This 275-nucleotide ribosomal RNA is filed under the name uncultured bacterium. RNAcentral describes it as "partial 16S ribosomal RNA". It matches the Rfam family "Bacterial small subunit ribosomal RNA", at positions 338 to 629 of the family's 1533-position model. The record is from RNAcentral.
CCUACGGGGGGCAGCAGUAGGGAAUAUUGGGCAAUGGGCGAAAGCCUGACCCAGCAACGCCGCGUGUGCGAUGAAGGUCUUCGGAUCGUAAAGCACUUUUCUGGGAGAUGAGAAAGGACAGUAUCCCAGGAAUAAGCCUCGGCUAACUACGUGCCAGCAGCCGCGGUAAAACGUAGGAGGCGAGCGUUAUCCGGAUUUACUGGGCGUAAAGCGCGUGCAGGCGGUUCGGCAAGUUGGAUGUGAAAGCUCCUGGCUCAACUAGGAGAGGUCGUUCA